GAUGAACGCUGGCGGCGUGCCUAAUACAUGCAAGUCGAGCGAACGGACGAGAAGCUUGCUUUUCUGAUGUUAGCGGCGGACGGGUGAGUAACACGUGGAUAACCUACCUAUAAGACUGGGAUAACUUCGGGAAACCGGAGCUAAUACCGGAUAAUAUUUUGAACCGCAUGGUUCAAAAGAGAAAGACGGUCUUGCUGUCACUUAUAGAUGGAUCCGCGCUGCAUUGGCUAGUUGGUAAGGUAACGGCUUACCAAGGCAACGAUGCAUAGCCGACCUGAGAGGGUGAUCGGCCACACUGGAACUGAGACACGGUCCAGACUCCUACGGGAGGCAGCAGUAGGGAAUAUUCCGCAAUGGGCGAAAGCCUGACGGAGCAACGCCGCGUGAGUGAUGAAGGUCUUCGGAUCGUAAAACUCUGUUAUUAGGGAAGAACAUAUGUGUAAGUAACUGUGCACAUCUUGACGGUACCUAAUCAGAAAGCCACGGCUAACUACGUG
Molecule: ribosomal RNA, 497 nt
Filed under: uncultured bacterium
Lineage: Bacteria
Description: partial 16S ribosomal RNA
Rfam family: Bacterial small subunit ribosomal RNA
Source: RNAcentral